Molecule: non-coding RNA, 486 nt
Organism: Saimiri boliviensis boliviensis (Bolivian squirrel monkey)
Lineage: Eukaryota; Metazoa; Chordata; Mammalia; Primates; Cebidae
Source: RefSeq, a predicted model, not a curated record
CGCAACCUCCGCCUCCCGGGUUCAAUCUGCUUUAUUGGAGACCAGGACUGCAGCCCUGCCUUUAUUUGCUCUCCAGUUGCUUGGUCAUGUGGCCCAGCUUCAGCCAUGUGAGCCCUGUGUAAUGAGGGGAACAGAUGAAGGCUGGAUUGAAGUGCCCCCCGGCCCCUUUCUGGAGCACCCACUGUCCCUGGCUGAUCCCCUCCCACAGUGCAGGCCUCCUCCAGCUCGUGGGUACAGGGAACAGGCACCGAGCAGCCUCUCCAUGUCGAGCUUCAUGUCCAGAUUGGAACAGCCCACAUGGCCGUUCCAUACCUCAUUGGCCUGCGGAAUCCUACGUAAAAGGUGCAGGUCUGAGCUGGGCCUGUUGUGCGAGUUCCUUGCCAAGCCAAGCAGCACAGGUCUGUAAGUAAAUAACAGCGAACACAGAUAGACCUCACUGGUUUUAUUUCUCUAUCCUUUUGGUCUGAUCUCAUGUUAGAUUUUGUC